RNAcentral lists this ribosomal RNA (868 nucleotides) under Cytobacillus firmus. Its description in RNAcentral is "bacterial SSU rRNA". It matches the Rfam family "Bacterial small subunit ribosomal RNA", at positions 52 to 902 of the family's 1533-position model. The record is from RNAcentral. Lineage: Bacteria; Bacillati; Bacillota; Bacilli; Caryophanales; Bacillaceae.
UACAUGCAAGUCGAGCGGACGGAUGGGAGCUUGCUCCCAGACCGUCAGCGGCGGACGGGUGAGUAACACGUGGGCAACCUGCCUGUAAGACUGGGAUAACUCCGGGAAACCGGGGCUAAUACCGGAUAAUUCUUUCCCUCACAUGAGGGAAAGCUGAAAGAUGGCAUCUCGCUAUCACUUACAGAUGGGCCCGCGGCGCAUUAGCUAGUUGGUGAGGUAACGGCUCACCAAGGCCACGAUGCGUAGCCGACCUGAGAGGGUGAUCGGCCACACUGGGACUGAGACACGGCCCAGACUCCUACGGGAGGCAGCAGUAGGGAAUCUUCCGCAAUGGACGAAAGUCUGACGGAGCAACGCCGCGUGAGUGAUGAAGGUUUUCGGAUCGUAAAACUCUGUUGUCAGGGAAGAACAAGUACCGGAGUAACUGCCGGUACCUUGACGGUACCUGACCAGAAAGCCACGGCUAACUACGUGCCAGCAGCCGCGGUAAUACGUAGGUGGCAAGCGUUGUCCGGAAUUAUUGGGCGUAAAGCGCGCGCAGGCGGUUCCUUAAGUCUGAUGUGAAAGCCCCCGGCUCAACCGGGGAGGGUCAUUGGAAACUGGGGAACUUGAGUGCAGAAGAGAAGAGUGGAAUUCCACGUGUAGCGGUGAAAUGCGUAUAGAUGUGGAGGAACACCAAUGGCCAAGGCGACUCUUUGGUCUGUAACUGACGCUGAGGCGCGAAAGCGUGGGGAGCAAACAGGAUUACAUACCCUGGUACUCCACGCCGUAAACGAUGAGUGCUAAGUGUUACAGGGUUUCCCCCUUUACUGCUGCAUCAAACGCAUUAAGACUCCGCCUGGGGAGUACGGCCGCAAGGCUGACACUC